UACGGAGGUCUCAAGCGUUGUUCGGAUUUAUUGGGCGUAAAGGGUGCGUAGGCGGCUCGGUAAGUCGGGUGUGAAAUCUCGGAGCUUAACUCCGAAACUGCAUUCGAUACUGCCGUGCUUGAGGACUGGAGAGGAGACUGGAAUUUACGGUGUAGCGGUGAAAUGCGUAGAUAUCGGAAGGAAGACCAGUGGCGAAGGCGGGUCUCUGGACAGUUCCUGACGCUGAGGCACGAAGGCCUGGGGAGCAAACGGG
Molecule: ribosomal RNA, 253 nt
Filed under: uncultured bacterium
Lineage: Bacteria
Description: partial 16S ribosomal RNA
Rfam family: Bacterial small subunit ribosomal RNA
Source: RNAcentral